RNAcentral lists this ribosomal RNA (406 nucleotides) under uncultured bacterium. RNAcentral describes it as "partial 16S ribosomal RNA". It matches the Rfam family "Bacterial small subunit ribosomal RNA", at positions 30 to 526 of the family's 1533-position model. The record is from RNAcentral.
AUUGAACGCUGGCGGCAGGCCUAACACAUGCAAGUCGAACGAGUGGCGGACGGGUGAGUAAUGUCUGGGAAACUGCAUGAUGGAGGGGGAUAACUACUGGAAACGGUAGCUAAUACCGCAUACCAUCAGAUGUGCCCAGAUGGGAUUAGCGUGGUGGUGGGGGAACGGCUCACCAAGGCGACGAUCCCUAACUGGUCUGAGAGGAUGAUCAGGCACACUGGAGCGGAGACACGGUCCAGACUCCUACGGUAGGCAGCAGUGGGGAAUAGUGGACAAUGGGCGAAAGCCUGAUCCAGCCAUGCCGCGUGUGUGAAGAAGGUCUUCGGAUGGUAAAGCACUUUAAGUUGGUGGGCGUUACCAGCAGAAUAAGCACCGGCUAACUUCGUGCCAGCAGCCGCGGUAAUAC